Molecule: non-coding RNA, 294 nt
Organism: Pelobates cultripes (western spadefoot toad)
Lineage: Eukaryota; Metazoa; Chordata; Amphibia; Anura; Pelobatidae
Source: the annotation of a GenBank genome assembly
CCUAUGUAGGGGGAACAGUCUCUAUUCUACUCUCUGUCAGUGUGUAUCAUGGUCUCUGAGGACAGGUGUCAAUCCAUAUCUGCCAAGUGACCCUAUGUAGGGGGAACAGUCUCUAUUCUGCUCUCUGUGAGUGUGUAUCAUGGUCUCUGAAGACAGGUGUCAAUCCAUAUCUGCCAAGUGACCCUAUGUAGGGGGAACAGUCCCUAUUCUGCUCUGUGUCAGUGUUUAUCAGGGAUCCUUAGUACAGGUGUCAAUCCAUAUCUGCCAAGUGACCCUAUGUAGGGGGAACAGUCC